RNAcentral lists this ribosomal RNA (597 nucleotides) under Niallia circulans. RNAcentral's name for it is "bacterial SSU rRNA". It matches the Rfam family "Bacterial small subunit ribosomal RNA", at positions 363 to 952 of the family's 1533-position model. Lineage: Bacteria; Bacillati; Bacillota; Bacilli; Caryophanales; Bacillaceae. The record is from RNAcentral.
CUUCCGCAUGGACGAAAGUCUGACGGAGCAACGCCGCGUGAGUGAUGAAGGUUUUCGGAUCGUAAAACUCUGUUGUUAGGGAAGAACAAGUACAAGAGUAACUGCUUGUACCUUGACGGUACCUAACCAGAAAGCCACGGCUAACUACGUGCCAGCAGCCGCGGUAAUACGUAGGUGGCAAGCGUUGUCCGGAAUUAUUGGGCGUAAAGCGCGCGCAGGCGGUCCUUUAAGUCUGAUGUGAAAGCCCACGGCUCAACCGUGGAGGGUCAUUGGAAACUGGGGGACUUGAGUGCAGAAGAGAAGAGUGGAAUUCCACGUGUAGCGGUGAAAUGCGUAGAGAUGUGGAGGAACACCAGUGGCGAAGGCGACUCUUUGGUCUGUAACUGACGCUGAGGCGCGAAAGCGUGGGGAGCAAACAGGAUUAGAUACCCUGGUAGUCCACGCCGUAAACGAUGAGUGCUAAGUGUUAGAGGGUUUCCGCCCUUUAGUGCUGCAGCAAACGCAUUAAGCACUCCGCCUGGGGAGUACGGCCGCAAGGCUGAAACUCAAAGGAAUUGACGGGGGCCCGCACAAGCGGUGGAGCAUGUGGUUUAAUUC